This is a non-coding RNA of Schistosoma margrebowiei, 46 nucleotides long. The record is from Rfam. NCBI's taxonomy places the organism in Eukaryota, Metazoa, Platyhelminthes, Trematoda, Strigeidida, Schistosomatidae.
GCACUGCUGAGGAGUCCCAUACCAGGACGAAACUGCCGUCCAGUGC